UACGUAGGGGGCUAGCGUUAUCCGGAAUUACUGGGCGUAAAGCGCGCGUAGGUGGUUCGUUAAGUUAGGAGUGAAAGCCCCGGGCUCAACCUGGGAAUUGCUUCUAAAACUGGCGAGCUAGAGUAUGGUAGAGGGUGGUGGAAUUUCCUGUGUAGCGGUGAAAUGCGUAGAGAUAUGGAGGAACACCAGUGGCGAAGGCGGCUUCCUGGUCUGUAACUGACACUGAGGCGCGAAAGCGUGGGGAGCAAACAGGAUUAGAUACCCUGGUAGUCCCUGAG
Molecule: ribosomal RNA, 278 nt
Filed under: uncultured prokaryote
Description: partial 16S ribosomal RNA
Rfam family: Bacterial small subunit ribosomal RNA
Source: RNAcentral